Molecule: ribosomal RNA, 1262 nt
Filed under: Staphylococcus aureus
Lineage: Bacteria; Bacillati; Bacillota; Bacilli; Caryophanales; Staphylococcaceae
Description: partial 23S ribosomal RNA
Rfam family: Bacterial large subunit ribosomal RNA
Source: RNAcentral
AGAUUAAGUUAUUAAGGGCGCACGGUGGAUGCCUUGGCACUAGAAGCCGAUGAAGGACGUUACUAACAACGAUAUGCUUUGGGGAGCUGUAAGUAAGCUUUGAUCCAGAGAUUUCCGAAUGGGGAAACCCAGCAUGAGUUAUGUCAUGUUAUCGAUAUGUGAAUACAUAGCAUAUCAGAAGGCACACCCGGAGAACUGAAACAUCUUAGUACCCGGAGGAAGAGAAAGAAAAUUCGAUUCCCUUAGUAGCGGCGAGCGAAACGGGAAGAGCCCAAACCAACAAGCUUGCUUGUUGGGGUUGUAGGACACUCUAUACGGAGUUACAAAGGACGACAUUAGACGAAUCAUCUGGAAAGAUGAAUCAAAGAAGGUAAUAAUCCUGUAGUCGAAAAUGUUGUCUCUCUUGAGUGGAUCCUGAGUACGACGGAGCACGUGAAAUUCCGUCGGAAUCUGGGAGGACCAUCUCCUAAGGCUAAAUACUCUCUAGUGACCGAUAGUGAACCAGUACCGUGAGGGAAAGGUGAAAAGCACCCCGGAAGGGGAGUGAAAUAGAACCUGAAACCGUGUGCUUACAAGUAGUCAGAGCCCGUUAAUGGGUGAUGGCGUGCCUUUUGUAGAAUGAACCGGCGAGUUACGAUUUGAUGCAAGGUUAAGCAGUAAAUGUGGAGCCGUAGCGAAAGCGAGUCUGAAUAGGGCGUUUAGUAUUUGGUCGUAGACCCGAAACCAGGUGAUCUACCCUUGGUCAGGUUGAAGUUCAGGUAACACUGAAUGGAGGACCGAACCGACUUACGUUGAAAAGUGAGCGGAUGAACUGAGGGUAGCGGAGAAAUUCCAAUCGAACCUGGAGAUAGCUGGUUCUCUCCGAAAUAGCUUUAGGGCUAGCCUCAAGUGAUGAUUAUUGGAGGUAGAGCACUGUUUGGACGAGGGGCCCCUCUCGGGUUACCGAAUUCAGACAAACUCCGAAUGCCAAUUAAUUUAACUUGGGAGUCAGAACAUGGGUGAUAAGGUCCAUGUUCGAAAGGGAAACAGCCCAGACCACCAGCUAAGGUCCCAAAAUAUAUGUUAAGUGGAAAAGGAUGUGGCGUUGCCCAGACAACUAGGAUGUUGGCUUAGAAGCAGCCAUCAUUUAAAGAGUGCGUAAUAGCUCACUAGUCGAGUGACACUGCGCCGAAAAUGUACCGGGGCUAAACAUAUUACCGAAGCUGUGGAUUGUCCUUUGGACAAUGGUAGGAGAGCGUUCUAAGGGCGUUGAAGCAUGAUCG